AUGGGAACGCGAAGAACCUUACCUAGACUUGACAUCUUCUGCAGUAAUCGUAAUGGAUGAAAUCCCUUCGGGGACAGAAUGACAGGUGGUGCAUGGUUGUCGUCAGCUCGUGUCGUGAGAUGUUGGGUUAAGUCCCGCAACGAGCGCAACCCCUAUUAUUAGUUGCUAACAUUAAGUUGAGCACUCUAGUGAGACUGCCCGGGUUAACCGGGAGGAAGGCGGGGAUGACGUCAAAUCAUCAUGCCCCUUAUGUCUAGGGCAACACACGUGCUACAAUGGUGAGUACAGAUAGAUGCGAUACCGCAAGGUGGAGCCAAACUCUAAAACUCAUCCCAGUUCGGAUUGUAGGCUGCAACUCGCCUACAUGAAGUUGGAGUUGCUAGUAAUCGCGAAUCAGAAUGUCGCGGUGAAUACGUUCCCGGGUCUUGUACACACCG
RNAcentral lists this ribosomal RNA (437 nucleotides) under uncultured bacterium. RNAcentral's name for it is "bacterial SSU rRNA". It matches the Rfam family "Bacterial small subunit ribosomal RNA", at positions 954 to 1392 of the family's 1533-position model. The record is from RNAcentral.